This 222-nucleotide long non-coding RNA is filed under the name Scleropages formosus (Asian bonytongue). Its description in RNAcentral is "lncRNA (ENSSFOG00015029975.1)". The record is from RNAcentral. Lineage: Eukaryota; Metazoa; Chordata; Actinopteri; Osteoglossiformes; Osteoglossidae.
CUGGAGUUAGUUGAUGCAUGGACUGCAAAACAGCUUGCAACACCUACUAAUCCUGGAGUUGAGAGGUUAGGAAUACAGCAGGACCCCCUGUACUGGUGGACUUAAAUUGAAAAGGACACAAGGUUGGUGCAACUGAACCGUCUCCCUAUGGUUCUCCUGCAAGAAUAUUCCCCAGAUGGAGCAUGGAAAUAAUGGAAAUGGAUGGAGCACAAGAGGUACAGG